Molecule: ribosomal RNA, 460 nt
Filed under: uncultured archaeon
Lineage: Archaea
Description: bacterial SSU rRNA
Rfam family: Archaeal small subunit ribosomal RNA
Source: RNAcentral
UGCCACUCUUAACGGGGUGGCUUUUCAGAAGUGUAAAAAGCUUCUGGAAUAAGGGCUGGGCAAGACCGGUGCCAGCCACCGCGGUAACACCGGCAGCUCAAGUGGUAGCCGCUUUUAUUGGGCCUAAAGCGUCCGUAGCCGGUCUGAUAAGUCUCUGGUGAAAUCCCACAGCUUAACUGUGGGAAUUGCUGGAGAUACUAUCAUGACUCGAGGUCGGGAGAGGCUGGAGGUACUCCCAGGGUAGGGGUGAAAUCCUGUAAUCCUGGGAGGACCACCUGUGGCGAAGGCGUCCAGCUGGAACGAACCUGACGGUGAGGGACGAAAGCCAGGGGCGCGAACCGGGUUAGAUACCCGGGUAGUCCUGGCCGUAAACGAUGUGGACUUGGUGUUGAGAUGGCUUCGAGCUGCCCCAGUGCCGAAGGGAAGCUGUUAAGUCCACCGCCUGGGAAGUACGGCCGCA